Callithrix jacchus (white-tufted-ear marmoset) is the source of this 1608-nucleotide long non-coding RNA. NCBI's taxonomy places the organism in Eukaryota, Metazoa, Chordata, Mammalia, Primates, Cebidae. The record is from Ensembl.
UUGUCUGACUGACACCCAAGAUUGCCUUGUAAAUUCCCUCUGAAUAAAUAUUUGACUACUUACCAACCUUGAAGGGUCUGCCUCUUUCUUUGGCCUGAGCUUAUGAAGAGCAGUUCUUGGUUCUGACAAAGUGUUUUCCCAAUACAAAGGGUUUAGACCCUCUAAGGAUGCAUAACUAGCCAAGGCAGAAAACCAGUCUCUUUGCCACAUAAGAUUUUAAUUCCAACAUUACUCCACAAUUAAUUGAUAAUAUACUAUAUCAUCUUUAUUUUUACUAUUGUUAGUUAAAAAUGUGGGUUUUUUGUUUGUUUGUUUCUUUCAAGUCAAGAAUCUACUAUAGCUGUUUAUGGUCUAUCAUAUUAGAUCUAAAUUCCAGUUGUUAUUUAAAUUUUUCAAUCUAGUAUCACCUAAUAUGAAUUAUCUCUCCAAUUAAUUUGGUUUCAGGUUAUUUUUCACUGAAGCCAGGGAGUACAAAUUAGGUCUGAAACCUGUAAGUUUUAAAACAGGGUCUGCCUUGGGAAAUCUAGGGCAUCAGGUUCUUAGAUGAUAGGACAAUGCAAGCCAGGCAGUAGUGUCUUAGCUAAGCACCCUCUGAGCCAGUGAGCAGUUGGCUCUAUUUAAAUCAGUUAAAAAUAGACUAACCAGCAGUUAAAAUUUUCAGCACAGCAAAAAGCAGUGAGGACAAGGUUUAUUCUUUGAUCUCUAAAGGUUUGCUUCAUUGAGCCUGAUAAUGGUGCAUGACGUGAAGAAUGUUAGCUAUACUGUGGUCUCACAUUACCUUGGUUUUACUUAGUCAUCAGUGUAAUUUAUCUAAGGGCAACUUGCCGCUAAAAAAAGAGCUCAGCUUGAAGGCUUCUAGCUUACACAGCAGGAGUUUCUGGAAAUUUUACUGCUGGUGGUGGUGGAUAGAAGGCAGAGAUAUGGCCAGUAUCAAACGAGAUUAUGUCCUGGGAAUUCAGAGAUUACAGUCUGAAGAAUUCAAGACCACUGGCAGUGAAGUUGAGGAACCAGGGUUGAAAGAUGAAAGAGGUUUGACCUCCUUUAAAGAACCUUCAUAUCAUCUUGCCCUGCAUGAAAUGUAUUAGGAGCCUUCCCUCUGUUCUUUGAUAAUAUUUUUCAAAGAUAUUAUCAUUUACAAAAUGGAAUUCCAAUGACUUGUUCAUAUGUCCAUCUUCAAGUGGUCUGGGAAUACCAAUGACUUGUUCAUGUCCAUCUUCAAGUGGUCUGGGAAUACCAAUGACUUGUUCAUAUGUCCAUCUUCAAGUGGUCUGGGAAUACCAAUGACUUGUUCAUAUGUCCACCUUCAAGUGGUCUAUCAAGUAAGCAUGUACUUAUGCGAGUCUUUCCAGAGGAUAUCAUUAACCUGAGUCAAUAGUUGAGAAAACUAAUCAAAUGGAUGUAAGUCCAUGUUUUUAUUUGUAAAUAAAAGUUUUGCCAAAAAAUUACAUACAAAGAACAAUGUCUCAAGAGACAUGCGAUAAUCAAAAUCCACAAAAUAAUACUUACAUAUAUUUUUGUUUAGAGAUUUGAAUAAAUGAACUACAAUUUAAGGAGAAUAUUGCAUUUCUUUUGAGAUAACCCCUUAAAUUUUACAUUCUGUUUCAAGGC